RNAcentral lists this ribosomal RNA (631 nucleotides) under uncultured bacterium. RNAcentral's name for it is "bacterial SSU rRNA". It matches the Rfam family "Bacterial small subunit ribosomal RNA", at positions 63 to 694 of the family's 1533-position model. The record is from RNAcentral.
CGAGCGGAGCGGUCUUGAUGAAGUUUUCGGAUGGAAUCAGGAUUGUCUUAGCGGCGGACGGGUGAGUAACACGUGGAUAACCUGCCUUAUACUGGGGGAUAACAGCCAGAAAUGGCUGCUAAUACCGCAUAAGCGCACGGCGCCGCAUGGCGCAGUGUGAAAAACUCCGGUGGUAUAAGAUGGAUCCGCGCCUGAUUAGCUAGUUGGCGGGGCAGCGGCCCACCAAGGCGACGAUCAGUAGCCGGCCUGAGAGGGCGACCGGCCACAUUGGGACUGAGACACGGCCCAAACUCCUACGGGAGGCAGCAGUGGGGAAUAUUGCACAAUGGGGGGAACCCUGAUGCAGCGACGCCGCGUGAGUGAAGAAGUAUUUCGGUAUGUAAAGCUCUAUCAGCAGGGAAGAAGAUGACGGUACCUGACUAAGAAGCCCCGGCUAACUACGUGCCAGCAGCCGCGGUAAUACGUAGGGGGCAAGCGUUAUCCGGAUUUACUGGGUGUAAAGGGAGCGUAGACGGCAGGGCAAGUCUGGAGUGAAAGCCCGGGGCCCAACCCCGGGACUGCUUUGGAAACUGCCAUGCUGGAGUGCUGGAGAGGUAAGCGGAAUUCCUAGUGUAGCGGUGAAAUGCGUAGA